Molecule: ribosomal RNA, 1537 nt
Filed under: metagenome
Description: bacterial SSU rRNA
Rfam family: Bacterial small subunit ribosomal RNA
Source: RNAcentral
AGAGUUUGAUUCUGGCUCAGAACGAACGCUGGCAGCGUGGAUUAGGCAUGCAAGUCGAACGAGAAACCGCAGAUUCAAUCUUCGGAGAGUGUCUGCGGUGGACAGUGGCGGAAGGGUGAGUAACGCGUGGGUAAGCUACCCCCAAGUUGGGAACAACCUUGGGAAACUGGGGCUAAUGCCGAAUGUGGUCCUCUGUCGCAUGGCAGGGUGACUAAAGGUGGGGACUCUUCGGAACCUGCCGCUUGGGGAGGUGCCCGCGUGCCAUCAGCUUGUUGGUGAGGUAACGGCCCACCAAGGCUAACGGCUAGCUGGUCUGAGAGGAUGAUCAGCCACACUGGGACUGAGACACUGCCCAGACUCCUACGGGAGGCUGCAGUCGAGGAUCAUUCGCAAUGCGCGAAAGCGUGACGAUGCGACGCUGCGUGGAGGAUGAAGGCUUUCGGGUCGUAAACUCCUGUCAUUCGGGAAAAACGGCAGGCGGGUUAAUACCCCGUCUGCGUGAUGGUACCGGAAGAGGAAGCCACGGCUAACUCUGUGCCAGCAGCCGCGGUAAUACAGAGGUGGCGAGCGUUGUUCGGAUUCACUGGGCGUAAAGCGUGUGCAGGCGGUAUCGUAUGUCGGAUGUGAAAUCCCACGGCCCAACCGUGGAAUGGCAUCCGAAACUGCGGAACUUGAGUACAGGAGGGGAGAGCGGAAUUCUUGGUGUAGCGGUGAAAUGCGUUGAUAUCAAGAAGAACACCGGUGGCGAAGGCGGCUCUCUGGAAUGUUACUGACGCUAAAGCACGAAAGUUGGGGGAGCAAACAGGAUUAGAUACCCUGGUAGUCCCAACCGUAAACGGUGUGCACUUGGUGUUGGAGGUAUUGACCCCUUCAGUGCCGGAGCUAACGCGUUAAGUGCACCGCCUGGGGAGUACGGCCGCAAGGCUAAAACUCAAAGAAAUUGACGGGGGCCCGCACAAGCGGAGGAGCAUGUGGCUUAAUUCGAUGCAACGCGAAGAACCUUACCUGGGCUUGACAUCUAGCUGCACGCCCCGGGAAACCGGGGAAGCCUUUGAGGGUGCUAGACAGGUGCUGCAUGGCUGUCGUCAGUUCGUGCCGUGAGGUGUUGGGUUAAGUCCCGCAACGAACGCAACCCUUGUGGUUAGUUGCCACCGUGGGUGAUAAGCCCACGAGCACUCUAGCCAGACUGCCCGUACAAGCGGGAGGAAGGUGGGGAUGACGUCAAGUCAGUAUGGCCCUUACGUCCAGGGCUGCACACGUGCUACAAUGGUCGGUACAGAAGGAAGCAAUACCGCGAGGUGGAGCAAAUCCCCAAAACCGGCCUCAGUUCGGAUUGGAGUCUGCAACUCGACUCCAUGAAGUUGGAUUCGCUAGUAACGGCGUAUCAGCUACGACGCCGUGAAUACGUUCCCGGGCCUUGUACACACCGCCCGUCACAUCAUGGAAGCCGUCUGGACCCGAAGUCGCUGGGCUAACCCGCAAGGGAGGCAGGUGCCGAAGGUCUGGGUGGUGACUGGGAUGAAGUCGGAACAAGGUA